UUUUAACGUUUUAACGGGUAGGGUCGUCGUCGACUAAGGUUUGGGUUUCGGUUCCGUACGAACGUCCGUUCGGUCCGGUCCGGUAGGAGGUUCGUCGGGUUUAAAGUCCCCAUAAACGAGCGCAACCCCUAUCAUUAGUUGCCAUCAGGUCAAGCUGGGGACUCUAAUGAAACUGCCUACGCAAGUAGUGAGGAAGGUGGGGAUGACGUCAAAUCAGCACGGCCCUUACGUCCAGGGCUACACACGUGCUACAAUGGCCGGUACAACGGGCAGCGAAGGAGCGAUCCGGAGCGAAUCCUAAAAAAGCCGGUCCCAGUUCGGAUUGCAGGCUGAAACUCGCCUACAUGAAGUUGGAGUUGCUAGUAAUCGCGAAUCAGAAUGUCGCGGUGAAUGCGUUCCCGGGUCUU
Molecule: ribosomal RNA, 407 nt
Filed under: uncultured Fusibacter sp.
Lineage: Bacteria; Bacillati; Bacillota; Clostridia; Eubacteriales; Fusibacteraceae
Description: bacterial SSU rRNA
Rfam family: Bacterial small subunit ribosomal RNA
Source: RNAcentral